CCUACGGGAGGCAGCAGUGGGGAAUAUUGCACAAUGGGGGAAACCCUGAUGCAGCGACGCCGCGUGAGUGAAGAAGUAUUUCGGUACGUAAAGCUCUAUCAGCAGGGAAGAAAAUGACGGUACCUUACUAAGAAGCCCCGCCUAACUACGUGCCCGCAGCCGCGGUAAUUCGGAGGGGGCAAGCGGUAUCCGGAUUUACUGGGUGUAAAGGGAGCGUAGACGGGAGGGCAAGUCUGGAGUGAAAUCCCAUGGCUUAACCAUGGAACUGCUUUGGAUACUGUGCAGCUAGAGUGCAGGAGAGGUAAGCGGAAUGCCUAGUGUAGCGGUGAAAUGCGUAGAUAUUAGGAGGAACACCGGUGGCGAAGGCAGCUUACUGGACUGUAACUGACGUUGAGGCACGAAAGCGUGGGGAGCAAACAGGAUUAGAUACCCUAGUAGUC
This 440-nucleotide ribosomal RNA is filed under the name uncultured bacterium. Its description in RNAcentral is "partial 16S ribosomal RNA". It matches the Rfam family "Bacterial small subunit ribosomal RNA", at positions 338 to 795 of the family's 1533-position model. The record is from RNAcentral.